AAGUCGUAACAAGGUUUCCGUAGGUGAACCGGAAGGAUCAUUAACACGUAUCCAACGUUAAACAACCCUGUGAACUUUCAGACGCUCUUGUAGCCCAGGAGGAACAGCAAUCCCGGUAAAUCAAUGGCGGAAAAGUUUUGAUUCGGGACCUCUGUCCAAAAGGUAUCAAGUUACAAUCGAGCUAGGAGUGCAGAAGGAUCCACUGAGUAAGGAUAACGCAUCACGGUUGCCAGAGGUCGAUCACCGGCCGGCAGACAUGUCACAGGGCUUUACGCCCCUUCAUUCACCCCUUGCCUAAUCAAGCCCCGCGGAAACGCCGGGCAAAAAAAUCUGAACAACUGUUAACAAUGGAUAUCUUGGUUCUC
Molecule: unclassified non-coding RNA, 365 nt
Filed under: fungal sp.
Lineage: Eukaryota; Fungi
Description: partial internal transcribed spacer region
Source: RNAcentral